This is a long non-coding RNA of Hevea brasiliensis (rubber tree), 456 nucleotides long. RefSeq lists it as uncharacterized. The record is from RefSeq and is a predicted model, not a curated record. The transcript is spliced from 2 exons. Lineage: Eukaryota; Viridiplantae; Streptophyta; Magnoliopsida; Malpighiales; Euphorbiaceae.
UCUCUCCUCUCUCUCCCUCUCUUUGAACCGUCCACCAUGGGAGCUCUCUCCCUCCAUUUUUGUUCUUCUUAAAGCUUGAUUUUCCAAGCUUUCUCCUCCCCAAAACCCAUAGUCUCCUUCAUUAAAAAGUUAGCCCACUCCAUAAAGAAGCCAUUAAUAGUGAAAAGAAGAAGAAAAGUUAAAGUUUGACAAGUUACCCAAGAGGUACUGGAGAUCAGUCCCAGCAGCCGCAGCAGCUGCAGCAGCAGCACCAGUAGUGCACUAACAGAGCUCUGAUCAGAUCUGCCAUUAUCCAGAGUCACCUCACCAGUCUUUUGUAUUUUGGUAGGGCCCAUGUAUAGACUAUUAUUUUGGUUCAUUAUGUUUAGUCAUGAUGUAAUUACUAGUUUAUGAUGUAUUUCAUUUUGGACUUGAAAUUAAACUUGAAAUUGAAAUAAAAACUUAUAAUUUAUUAUC